CCAGCUGGAGACCUCCAUGGCUGGUGAUACCCCUGCCUGGGCCUCACUUGGCCCCGGGCUCACCACAGGAGCUACCUCACCCACUCGGCCCAGCGGGCUGUGCUUGGCUUGUGCUCCUGCUUGGAUCCUGUGCUCACCGCAGGAUCCACACUAAGCCUGCAGGUGGGCUUGGCUUGCCACAACCUGCUUCCACCUUGGGCACCAAUGUCUGGCUGAGAGGAAUGCAAUGGUGCAUGAAUGGGGAUGCGAGCAACCCUAAAGCCCCAGAGGGAGUGUUACAGCAGGCUAACAGCUCUUUUAGUCCCAUUGUCCCACUCCAAUCCAUGGCUCCAGGGCUGGCCUGGCUCCAGCACUGCUUCCUGUCACAUGGGGCGGUUGCCUUCCACCAGCAGAGGGCAGAGAACCACAGUGUUAUAGCCUUUGUUGUACUUGCAUUUGGCAGGUCCCAAGUUCUUGUCCCACAUCCAAGAAGAAUGAGGUUAUGCUGACAACCAAAGGAUGAGGAGAGUUUUAUUGAGUGACAGCUCUCAGCAAAGAGAGGACCUAAGAGGGCAGUCCCCUCUCCAAAGUUGGAUGGUCUCUUCCUGACUGAAGGUGUGUGCAGCACAUCAAAGCCUAACUGGAAGAAGGCACAGUCUUCAUUUUGGUGGCUUUUAUCACCAUGAGGAUGAGGUGACCUGUGCUCACAGUCCUCCUUUCAGGAUCGAGGGGAGCAGAGAAGUUUCCAGGCCGAGCCGUAGGCCUGGGGAUCAUCUGACACAGAGGCAGGCUGUGUCCCCACUGCAUUCAUCAGACCCACUUCCUUUGACCUACAAGAGGGAUCACCCUGCAUUUUCCAUCCUUCUCAUCAGAUUGGGUUGGGUCUGACCGAAGUUGGAUGUGGAGAGUAGGGUCACUCCUCUAGGUGGGGGAUGUGCCCUCCAUGUGGGAAUCCAAGAGGGAGCAGCUCUGAGGUGAACACAAGACUCUACAGACUUCAGAGCAGAGAGAAUAUUCUCCCAAGGGCCAGACUGUGAAAAUGGGGAACUUAGAGUGAGAGUGGAAUUGAAGAAGCUGAGGGAAGAACACAGAAGCGUGAAGGAAGAAAUGGGACUCCUGCUGACAGUGAGGGCUCCUCAUUGGCCAGCAGAUCAGCAUGCUGGUAUUGCUGGUCUCUCCAGCCCACCAUGACGUUAUCGCAUCAUUCUGACUCUGCAGGACAGGCACAGCUGCUGUCUUCCUUACAGCCGAAGUCUUCCUCGGACUUAGUGAGGAAGGAACAGAGCACAACCAAAAAGCUUUCCAUCUUAUAGCCCAAUGUCCUAUGUCUUGCUCUAUUUGGUUCAUUAAAUCUGAUUCAUCCAGACUAUCUUGUGAAGUUUGUAUCUUUCUUUGACAUCAGUUAUGAUCCUCAGAUGUCUU
This 1401-nucleotide long non-coding RNA is filed under the name Homo sapiens (human). Its description in RNAcentral is "HSALNT0239883". The record is from RNAcentral. Lineage: Eukaryota; Metazoa; Chordata; Mammalia; Primates; Hominidae.